AGUUUCCCAGGCUCCUCUUCCUCCGGCGAUGGCAGUCGGCAUGGCGCAUUUUGACCUGCUGGUUCAACAGGUCAGAGGCCUCACCGAAGCAGUGCAGGCCAUGUAGCAGCAGUCGCAGCAGCCACAGGCAUCGGUGCGGUUGGAAAGAGCAUUGUCGGAGUUCCAGAAUUCGACGAUCGGGCGGGCCACAUGGGCCAGCCACCCUGUCUUUUCCAGAAAAGAAAAACAGAAGAUGAAGAGUCCUCCGUCCGAUCAUGAUUCAACCCCUGG
RNAcentral lists this long non-coding RNA (270 nucleotides) under Elaeis guineensis (African oil palm). RNAcentral describes it as "long non-coding RNA (EGUI_LNC082235)". Lineage: Eukaryota; Viridiplantae; Streptophyta; Magnoliopsida; Arecales; Arecaceae. The record is from RNAcentral.